ACUCAUCAACUUUACUUAUUGCUUAUAAAGCUGUAACAUAACAGUUAGCGUUCCGCAUCGCGGGUGGCACAUCUCAUUGUUCUUAUGGCUUGAACCCUGGCGAAGAAGGUUCUGUUCUGAGCUGGCUUAUUCUUUUUCGAAUAAGAGGUUGAUACAUCCCGUGGAAACUUGAAGGCAUUCCUAGUUGGCUCUUUGCAAAACCUUUACGGAUUGAUCAAGAACAGACUUCAAGGAUUGAAUAUUCAGUGAAUUCCUGGAGAGGAUGGUCACAGGACGCAUAACUCUAAGCACAUAUGGCCACAGUUGUCCCCAGGGGAUUAGAAUUUUUGCGGAGAUCCAACAAAUAUCCACGAAAGUAUAGGAACAAACAGCAAUGAACAAGAUGAAUCUGGAAAGAUAAGUUCCCGCAGAACCCAUUCAAAAAGAUGCUGCUUGAUUCUUUCAAGUCCCUGAAGGUCUGCAUCAAUUGAGUUCGCCACUUCCUUCCCAACCCAUCCUUGAGGAUAACCUCCUCCCAAAUCAAUCAAAUAUGCAUCUUCAUUGACAUCAACUAGCACAUUGGCAGCUUUUGCAUCUCCCC
This 580-nucleotide small RNA is filed under the name Histoplasma capsulatum. Its description in RNAcentral is "hypothetical RNA". RNAcentral also lists the same sequence under 1 other name. Lineage: Eukaryota; Fungi; Ascomycota; Eurotiomycetes; Onygenales; Ajellomycetaceae. The record is from RNAcentral.